This is a non-coding RNA of Podarcis lilfordi (Lilford's wall lizard), 72 nucleotides long. The record is from the annotation of a GenBank genome assembly. NCBI's taxonomy places the organism in Eukaryota, Metazoa, Chordata, Lepidosauria, Squamata, Lacertidae.
GGGGUUGGAGAUGAGUGGUAGAGCAUCUGCCUUGCAAGCAGACAGUCCCAGGUUCAAUCCCUAGUAUCUCCA